AGCUCCAAUAGCGUAUAUUAAAGUUGUUGCAGUUAAAAAGCUCGUAGUUGGAUUUCUGGUGUCUUUUUGCGUUUCCUUCUUUGCCAGCGAAAUGCUGGUGUUGGUCGCAAUGGAUGCCUUCUUUCUCCGCUAAUUUGUCGCUGAAUCAUUAGUUUGGCUCGGUGAUGAAUGGGGAUCAUUUACUGUGAAAAAUUAGAGUGUUCAAAGCAAGUAUUAUUUCUUGAAUACAUUAGCGUGGAAUAAUAAGAUAGGACUUGGGUAAUAUUUUGUUGGUUUGCAUAUCCAGGUAAUGAUUAAUAGGAACAUAUUGGGGAUAUCUGUAUUUUUUAGUCAGAGGUGAAAUUCUUGGAUUUAAGAAGGACAAACUACAGCGAAAGCAUUUAUCAGGGAUGUUU
Molecule: ribosomal RNA, 395 nt
Filed under: uncultured eukaryote
Lineage: Eukaryota
Description: SSU rRNA
Rfam family: Eukaryotic small subunit ribosomal RNA
Source: RNAcentral